RNAcentral lists this ribosomal RNA (131 nucleotides) under uncultured bacterium. RNAcentral's name for it is "partial 23S ribosomal RNA". It matches the Rfam family "Bacterial large subunit ribosomal RNA", at positions 1 to 131 of the family's 2925-position model. The record is from RNAcentral.
GGUCAAGUUACUAGGAGCGCAGGGCGGAUGCCUUGGCACCGUAAGCCGACGAAGGACGCGAUAAGCUGCGAAAAGCUGUGGGGAGGAGCAAAUAUCUUAAGAUCCACAGAUGUCCGAAUGGGGAAACCCGG